This 305-nucleotide ribosomal RNA is filed under the name uncultured bacterium. RNAcentral describes it as "bacterial SSU rRNA". It matches the Rfam family "Bacterial small subunit ribosomal RNA", at positions 337 to 659 of the family's 1533-position model. The record is from RNAcentral.
UCCUACGGGGGGCAGCAGUGGGGGAUAUUGCACAAUGGGGGCAACCCUGAUGCAGCGACGCCGCGUGAGCGAUGGAGUACUUCGGUAUGUAAAGCUCUGUCAGCAGGGAAGAGAAUGACGGUACCUGACCAAGAAGCCCCGGCUAAAUACGUGCCAGCAGCCGCGGUAAUACGUAUGGGGCAAGCGUUAUCCGGAUUUACUGGGUGUAAAGGGAGCGUAGGCGGCAGGGCAAGCCAGGAGUGAAAGCCCGGGGCCCAACCCCGGGACUGCUCUUGGAAUUGCGUGGCUGGAGUGCAGGAGGGGCA